GUAGGGAAUCUUCGGCAAUGGACGCAAGUCUGACCGAGCAACGCCGCGUGAGUGAAGAAGGUUUUCGGAUCGUAAAACUCUGUUGUAAGAGAAGAACGUUGAUGAGAGUGGAAAGUUCAUCAAGUGACGGUAUCUUACCAGAAAGCCACGGCUAACUACGUGCCAGCAGCCGCGGUAAUACGUAGGUGGCAAGCGUUGUCCGGAUUUAUUGGGCGUAAAGCGAGCGCAGGCGGUUGAUUAAGUCUGAUGUGAAAGCCCCCGGCUCAACCGGGGAGGGUCAUUGGAAACUGGUCAACUUGAGUGCAGAAGAGGAGAGUGGAAUUCCAUGUGUAGCGGUGAAAUGCGUAGAUAUAUGGAGGAACACCAGUGGCGAAGGCGGCUCUCUGGUCUGUAACUGACGCUGAGGCUCGAAAGCGUGGGGAGCGAACAGGAUUAGAUACCCUAGUAGUCC
RNAcentral lists this ribosomal RNA (451 nucleotides) under uncultured bacterium. Its description in RNAcentral is "bacterial SSU rRNA". It matches the Rfam family "Bacterial small subunit ribosomal RNA", at positions 354 to 796 of the family's 1533-position model. The record is from RNAcentral.